RNAcentral lists this ribosomal RNA (118 nucleotides) under Leptosphaeria sp. E62. RNAcentral describes it as "partial 28S large subunit ribosomal RNA". Lineage: Eukaryota; Fungi; Ascomycota; Dothideomycetes; Pleosporales; Leptosphaeriaceae. The record is from RNAcentral.
UUUGACCUCGGAUCAGGUAGGGAUACCCGCUGAACUUAAGCAUAUCAAUAGCCGGGAGGAAGAUCAUUACCUUUCAAUGCAGAAGAGUUGGGAUGGUUGAGUAUCUCGCUCUCAAUUC